GGUUCGGUCGCCGAGUGGUAGGCAUCCGACGGGGCAUCCGAAGACUCAGGUUCAAUUCCUGGCUGAGUUA
This 70-nucleotide transfer RNA is filed under the name Acropora cervicornis. RNAcentral's name for it is "tRNA-Pro". It matches the Rfam family "tRNA". From Rfam's summary of the family: Transfer RNA (tRNA) molecules are approximately 80 nucleotides in length. Their secondary structure includes four short double-helical elements and three loops (D, anti-codon, and T loops). The record is from RNAcentral. Lineage: Eukaryota; Metazoa; Cnidaria; Anthozoa; Scleractinia; Acroporidae.